RNAcentral lists this ribosomal RNA (305 nucleotides) under uncultured bacterium. RNAcentral's name for it is "bacterial SSU rRNA". It matches the Rfam family "Bacterial small subunit ribosomal RNA", at positions 334 to 655 of the family's 1533-position model. The record is from RNAcentral.
UUCUCCUACGGGGGGCAGCAGUGGGGAAUAUUGCACAAUGGGGGAAACCCUGAUGCAGCGACGCCGCGUGAGUGAAGAAGUAAUUCGUUAUGUAAAGCUCUAUCAGCAGUGAAGAAUAAUGACGGUAACUAAGGAGCAAGCCACGGCUAACUACGUGCCAGCAGCCGCGGUAAUACGUAGGUGGCAAGCGUUGUCCGGAAUUACUGGGUGUAAAGGGAGCGUAGGCGGGAAGCCAAGUCAGCUGUGAAAACUACGGGCUUAACCUGUAGACUGCAGUUGAAACUGGCUUUCUUGAGUGAAGUAGG